RNAcentral lists this transfer RNA (71 nucleotides) under Heterocephalus glaber (naked mole-rat). It matches the Rfam family "tRNA". From Rfam's summary of the family: Transfer RNA (tRNA) molecules are approximately 80 nucleotides in length. Their secondary structure includes four short double-helical elements and three loops (D, anti-codon, and T loops). Further hydrogen bonds mediate the characteristic L-shaped molecular structure. tRNAs have two regions of fundamental functional importance: the anti-codon, which is responsible for specific mRNA codon recognition, and the 3' end, to which the tRNAs corresponding amino acid is attached (by aminoacyl-tRNA synthetases). tRNAs cope with the degeneracy of the genetic code in two manners: having more than one tRNA (with a specific anti-codon) for a particular amino acid; and 'wobble' base-pairing, i.e. permitting non-standard base-pairing at the 3rd anti-codon position. The record is from Rfam by way of RNAcentral. Lineage: Eukaryota; Metazoa; Chordata; Mammalia; Rodentia; Bathyergidae.
CCAGGUGUAGCUCAGUGGUAGAGCCCCUGCCUGCCAUGCACAAAGCCCUGGGUUUGAUCCCCAGCCCUGUA